GCUAAAUAUAGGGAAAACAGGCAUAAAAUAUCUUUGAUUGAAUUUUCAGAGCAAAAUAAAUGACAGAAGUUGCUCAUUAUUUUAUACUGUAAAGCUUUGAUGUCUCUAUUUUAUAAAAUUGAAAUAAAAUUUGGGGGUCACCGGCCAUCCAAGAGAUUUUUUGACCUCUGAAAAUGAGUGCAAAUAGGCUAAAUAUAGGGAAAACAGGCAUAAAAUAUCUUUGAUUGAAUUUUCAGAGCAAAAUAAAUGACAGAAGUUGCUCAUUUUUUCAUACUGUAAAGCUUGAUGUCUCUAUUUUAUAAAAUUGAAAUAAAAUUUGGGGGUCACCGGCCAUCCAAGAGAUUUUUUGACCUCUGAAAAUGAGUGCAAAUAGGCUAAAUAUAGGGAAAACAGGCAUAAAAAUAUCUUUGAUUGAAUUUUCAGAGCAAAAUAAAUGACAGAAGUUGCUCAUUUUUUCAUACUGUAAAGCUUGAUGUCUCUAUUUUUAUUAAAUUGAAAUACAUUUUGCG
This 509-nucleotide long non-coding RNA is filed under the name Mytilus galloprovincialis (Mediterranean mussel). Lineage: Eukaryota; Metazoa; Mollusca; Bivalvia; Mytilida; Mytilidae. The record is from RNAcentral.